GUAGGUGGCAAGCGUUGUCCGGAAUUAUUGGGCGUAAAGCGCGCGCAGGCGGGGUCCUUUAAGUCUGAUGUGAAAGCCCACGGGCUCAACCGUGGAGGGUCAUUGGAAACUGGGGGACUUGAGUACAGAAGAGGAAAGCGGAAUUCCGAGUGUAGCGGUGAAAUGCGUAGAGAUUUGGAGGAACACCAGUGGCGAAGGCGGCUUUCUGGUCUGUAACUGACGCUGAGGCGCGAAAGCGUGGGGAGCAAACAGGAUUAGAUACCCUGGUAGUCCACGCCGUAAACGAUGAGUGCUAAGUGUUAGGGGGUUUCCGCCCCUUAGUGCUGCAGCUAACGCAUUAAGCACUCCGCCUGGGGAGUACGGCCGCAAAGGCUG
Molecule: ribosomal RNA, 375 nt
Filed under: uncultured organism
Description: partial 16S ribosomal RNA
Rfam family: Bacterial small subunit ribosomal RNA
Source: RNAcentral